GAGAGAGGUCGGACGGCUGCCGGACCCCAGGGUCUGAGGAAAGUCUCCCCUCCGCUCCGGACACACGAACACCUGUAAAGGGUGUCGGGCGAGAGCCCGGGCGCUGGCACAGAAACGGAACCGUCCCCUGUUAAUGCAAUGAUGCGAAAAGCUGAGGUCGCAGGGGCUGCGGAUGAAACGGUGAAUCCUCGUGGGUGCAAGUUGGAAAUCGGGAUUAUAUGAGCAGUCCGGAAUCACCCGAUUUGUUUUGAAACGCUUAGCCGAAUGCCGUCACUGCAAGAGUCCUAAAGGACCGUUCCCCUCACUGCCUGGUGUCGGGAAUCAUUGCAGGAACAGAAGGGAGCUUACGGACCUCACUC
Methanosarcina sp. MTP4 is the source of this 359-nucleotide non-coding RNA. It matches the Rfam family "Archaeal RNase P". From Rfam's summary of the family: Ribonuclease P (RNase P) is a ubiquitous endoribonuclease, found in archaea, bacteria and eukarya as well as chloroplasts and mitochondria. Its best characterised activity is the generation of mature 5'-ends of tRNAs by cleaving the 5'-leader elements of precursor-tRNAs. Cellular RNase Ps are ribonucleoproteins. Lineage: Archaea; Methanobacteriati; Methanobacteriota; Methanomicrobia; Methanosarcinales; Methanosarcinaceae. The record is from Rfam.